UGGAUAACAGUUUGCUUCUGACUUCAGU
RNAcentral lists this non-coding RNA (28 nucleotides) under Rattus norvegicus (Norway rat). The record is from RNAcentral. Lineage: Eukaryota; Metazoa; Chordata; Mammalia; Rodentia; Muridae.